Molecule: ribosomal RNA, 294 nt
Filed under: Actinomycetota bacterium
Lineage: Bacteria; Bacillati; Actinomycetota
Description: Actinobacteria bacterium partial 16S ribosomal RNA
Rfam family: Bacterial small subunit ribosomal RNA
Source: RNAcentral
GCAAUACCGCAAGGUGGAGCGAAUCCCAAAAAGCCGGUCUCAGUUCGGAUUGAGGUCUGCAACUCGACCUCAUGAAGUCGGAGUCGCUAGUAAUCGUAGAUCAGCAACGCUACGGUGAAUACGUUCCCGGGCCUUGUACACACCGCCCGUCAAGUCACGAAAGUCGAUAACACCCGAAGCCGGUGGCCUAACCGCAAGGAGGGAGCCGUCGAAGGUGGGAUUGGUGAUUGGGACUAAGUCGUAACAAGGUAGCCGUACCGGAAGGUGCGGCUGGAUCACCUCCUUUCUAAGGAG